Long non-coding RNA from Uranotaenia lowii, 743 nucleotides. RefSeq lists it as uncharacterized. The transcript has 3 exons. The record is from RefSeq and is a predicted model, not a curated record. NCBI's taxonomy places the organism in Eukaryota, Metazoa, Arthropoda, Insecta, Diptera, Culicidae.
CCAAACAAAAAUUGACAUUAGUGGUUCCGGCAUCUUCUAAUGUGCUUCGCUCGUGCCAGCAGUCGUCGAGCAGAUAAAACGCUGCUAAAGCCGCUGCAAGCCGGUGAGAAAACGGCCAGCAGACAAAUUCUGCUCACGACGCUCGCGGCACAAGGAGAACGGAAAAAGCCACUUGAAAAGGGAACCAACCAGCAGACAAUUUCGGCUCAACGCUCGCGGCACUCGAAGGCGGAGCUAACCUGAACGGAAAACACGGAAAAGGCACAGCACAAAGAAGCCCCUAACAAAAGGGGAAGCAUCCGGAAGAACACGUGAAAAGCUCCUACUAAUGGCAUGCUGCCUUAGGGCUUCUUUUUCUUUUCUUGUCGUUUUCGUUUUCUUCUUUCCUCAAGGGAGGUUGGCCACGGCACAGCAGCACGCCUGAGCAAGGGCACGCGGAAGGGCAACUUCUGCUUUUUGCCCCAACAAUCAACGGGCCUUCCUGUUCUCCUUCUAAGGAUUCAUAGUUAGAACCACAACACCUGUGACACGUUGUCCGGAAGUGUAUUCCGGAUUCAGCGAUGGACGAACACAAAUGCCGCGGAGUUGGAAUUCGAACGUGCGAUCUUCGGAGGUCCAUUUACCAACUUUACCUCUGCGUCAGGAAAGCGACAUCUGGUGUCAGGAUGACAAACUAGGAAGAUCCUGCAACCAGGCCUUUCGAGCAUCCACAAAAAUUGAGUGAGUAAACAACUAUUAAACAG